RNAcentral lists this ribosomal RNA (376 nucleotides) under uncultured bacterium. Its description in RNAcentral is "partial 16S ribosomal RNA". It matches the Rfam family "Bacterial small subunit ribosomal RNA", at positions 338 to 711 of the family's 1533-position model. The record is from RNAcentral.
CCUACGGGUGGCAGCAGUGAGGAAUAUUGGUCAAUGGGCGAGAGCCUGAACCAGCCAAGUCGCGUGAAGGAUGACGGCCCUACGGGUUGUAAACUUCUUUUGUCAGGGAGCAAUUGAGUCCACGUAUGGGCUUAGCAAGAGUACCUGAAGACAAAGCAUCCGCUAACUCGGUGCCCGCAGCCUGGGUAAUACGGAGGAUGCGAGCGUUAUCCGGUUUUAUUGGGUAUAGAGGAUGCGUAGGCGGAAUAUAGAGUCAGCGGAAAAAACUCGGGGCGCAACCCCGGCCCGCCGUUGAAACUGGCAGUCGCGAGUUGGAGAGAAGUAUGCGGAAUGCGCGGUGUAGCGGUGAAAUGCAUAGAUAUCGCGCAGAACUCCG